AUGUCGUCAGUGCAGCUCUCUGGUGCGGGUGUUGCCGCGGUGGCCUUCAGCAACAAUGGCCUGCGCCUCUCUCAGACGUCGGCACUAAGGGUGUGCUCUUCCAGGCGCUCGUCUCGUAGCCUCGUUGUCAAGGCUGCCACUGUCGUCACCCCGAAGUAUACAUCACUCAAGCCUCUGGGAGACAGAGUGCUCGUGAAGCUUAGCGCAGCUGAGGAGAAGACCAUUGGUGGAAUUUUGCUUCCAUCGUCCGCGCAGUCUAAGCCUCAGGGAGGUGAGAUUGUGGCUGUUGGAGGGGGUAGAACCAUUGGGGAUAAGAAGGUGGAGGUCAGCAUACCGACUGGAUCUCAAGUUGUAUACUCAAAGUACGCUGGUACUGAGGUUGAAUACAACAACUCCAAGCAUCUUAUUAUGAAAGAGGAUGACAUCAUAGGUAUUCUUGAAUCUGAUGAUGUCAAAGACAUGAAGCCUCUCAAUGACCGGAUUCUGAUCAAGGUUGCAGAGGCUUCAGACAAGACUGAAGCUGGUCUUAUCCUCACCGAGACAACCAAGGAGAAGCCAUCCAUUGGAACAGUCGUAGCUGUUGGUCCGGGCUCUCUCGACGAGGAAGGCAAGAGGCAGCCAUUGUCGGUGUCACCAGGCAGCACCGUCCUGUACUCCAAGUACGCAGGCGGUGAGUUCAAGGGAGCUGAUGGCACGAACUACAUUGUGUUGAGAGUGUCUGAUGUGAUGGCCGAGCUCUCUUAA
This 744-nucleotide ribosomal RNA is filed under the name Triticum aestivum (bread wheat). Its description in RNAcentral is "partial small subunit ribosomal RNA". Lineage: Eukaryota; Viridiplantae; Streptophyta; Magnoliopsida; Poales; Poaceae. The record is from RNAcentral.